UGUCUCAGAAAACAUUUGAAUUUUCUUCAUUCCUGUAGCUAUACAUCAAAAAAUUUUUUUCCGUUGUUGCUCAUAGCACUCAAUGUAUUCUUAUAAAUAAUUUGUUAUCACAGCUGCCCUGCUCUUAAAUCGCUUAUUUGCUGUAAAUUUUAUUUUACUGUUUUUAAUUUAUUAUACAUUUUAUUGUUCCAAAAACAUAUAGUAUAAAUUGAUGCUACAAAUGAUAGCAAACUAGUAGUGUACUAUUACUGCAUUAGUACUUAUUAAAUGAAGUGAUUUUUAUAACUAUCAUUUAUGCUGUGUUGUAAAAAAAGCUGUUAUACAUUAGUACAUUUAAUGGUAGAGGGCUUUGUUAUUAUGUGGUUUUACUGCGGGUAAUAUCCUACUUGCAUAAUUUAUCAGUUAAAUUGAAAUGCAGCUCGGCUCACCAGCAGCUGAGGGGUAAUUUCACUGAAUGCUGAUAGUUUAACUUGGGUUUAAAUCCCUGUGAACAAGCUGGGUGCAUGGGCAUUCUCAUCAUUUUCUCCAUAUGUAGCAAGGAUAUGAGCCAUUUUAACUUAGAAAGUCCUCCAUGAAGGCAUCCCUUCUUUUGAUAGACAUUCUUUUAUGUAAUCAAACAAACCAAAUAGAAAAUGCACAAAUGGUAUUUGCACAUUUUUAAAAUGAUUCUGAAGCCAUUUAAGUAAUGUUUGAAAUGUAAAGGGCAUUUUUUUUUUUUAAAUGUUUGAUCUUGUAGCCUUUUUCCUGGACUGUAAGUCUCCAUCAUGAUUUCCAUGAUAAAAGGGCUUUUGGUAAAAUUUUUAGGGGUAUUGAUUUCCAUUCCUCUUCUCCUAAUUUCCAGAAUACAUCAGUCGUUGUGUGUUUUCUAAUAGAAACAGCUGUUUUUAAAAGACCAAAGGCAAAAUAGUGGAUAUGUGAAAUGUUAGAGACUUUACAGGAAUACAUUGAAAGGCCAGUUUCCAUCUUUUCCUAUUUUAUCAUUAAGAAGAUUUUCUCUCUUUUCCAAUGUGAUCAUUAGGAAGAUUGCUCUUCAAGAAAAACUUGCUAGGUCACAAGGAAUAUCGUAAGCUCAGGUGUCACACUUUCAAUAAAAUAUCUGCUGUAUCAUCUCUUCUUAAGGUAGAUCUAUUUACCUAACUCAAGUUAAAAGUGAGCUUUUUGGAUUUUCUCUAUGCUGAUGGGAACUUGUCUACCAAAAACGUUUGCUAGCUGAGAAAAGGAAUAUUUUCCUUUCAUUUUUGCUUUUGGGGAUGGGGACAGAACACAUAAACUCAAUGAUGAUUUAGUAAAGUAAGCCACCUAAGUCAGGUUGAAACGGAAAUCUUCAGAUGUUCUGUUUGCUGCUAUGUUGCUACAAGAAUUAUUGAUCUUGAAGAACAUUUGUUAGUUCACAGGAAAGGUCAUCAGUUCAUUUGUAAUACAUGCAGCAAAACGUUUGCUACAUCACAUAAACUUAAGAGGCAUGCAAUAAUUCAUUCUGGAGAGCGGCCAUAUGUUUGUCAAAUGUGUAACAAAGGUUUUAAUCGAAAAGAAAGUUUGGUUAUUCAUUCAAGAGUUCAUUCUGGAGAACGGCCUUAUGCUUGCGGAACAUGUAAUAAAACUUUUAAGCAAAGAGCAGCUCUGUUUUCUCAUUUGAGAACUCAUUCCACAGAGCGGCCGUAUGUUUGUGAGGUGUGUAAAGGAAGUUUUCGUCAUAAACAAUCACUUACAGAGCAUUUCAAAAUUCAUAGUAAUGAAUAUUGGCAUCAAUGCACUAUUUGCAGAAAAAAGUAUAGAAGAAAAACUGAACUACGGAAACAUUUGUGUACAGGUUAUAUGGAUCAAUAAUUUUGUUCGUCAAAAAUGUCAUGUUUCGCGAUACAUUAUAAUGAUUAUGAAACAUCGCCAUUUAUUUUGUAAAUCAAAAAGAAAAUAUAUUAAAAAGUGUAACAUUGUC
This 1936-nucleotide long non-coding RNA is filed under the name Stegodyphus dumicola. Its description in RNAcentral is "uncharacterized LOC118180423, transcript variant X1". The record is from RNAcentral. Lineage: Eukaryota; Metazoa; Arthropoda; Arachnida; Araneae; Eresidae.